UUUUAGCCCCGAUUGAAGUGGCAUCCCCCGAUUUAUCGGGGAUAUAACGGAAAGCGGGUGGGACG
RNAcentral lists this small RNA (65 nucleotides) under Flavobacterium fontis. RNAcentral's name for it is "Flavo-1 RNA". It matches the Rfam family "Flavo-1 RNA". The record is from Rfam by way of RNAcentral. Lineage: Bacteria; Pseudomonadati; Bacteroidota; Flavobacteriia; Flavobacteriales; Flavobacteriaceae.